UACGUAGGGUGCGAGCGUUAAUCGGAAUUACUGGGCGUAAAGCGUGCGCAGGCGGUUCGUUAUGUCCGAUGUGAAAGCCCCGAGCUCAACUUGGGAAUGGCAUUGGAAACUGGCGGGCUGGAGUGUGGCAGAGGGGGGUGGAAUUCCACGUGUAGCAGUGAAAUGCGUAGAGAUGUGGAGGAACACCGAUGGCGAAGGCAAUCCCCUGGACCUGUACUGACGCUCAUGCACGAAAGCGUGGGGAGCAAACAGG
RNAcentral lists this ribosomal RNA (253 nucleotides) under uncultured bacterium. RNAcentral's name for it is "partial 16S ribosomal RNA". It matches the Rfam family "Bacterial small subunit ribosomal RNA", at positions 524 to 776 of the family's 1533-position model. The record is from RNAcentral.